GAACAAUGGAGAGAAAGAGGGGAAGGAAAAAAGAGAAAGUGGGAGUAAAUGAAGUCAAAAUGGAAAAUGAGUUAUGACCAAAUGAGAGUCAGCAGACAGUAAGACGAGAGUAACACAUGGAAACAGGAAGAAAGUUCUGAACACGGGAAGAAUCUGGGACAAACGGUGACAGCAAAAAAAAAAAAGAGAAUGUAGUCAUGUAGUUAUUCUACUUCGUCUUGCUUCUUAUGAAAGAUGAAACCUAGCAGAUUGUUGUUCAUUGUGCUAGGAGUUAAGUCCUUUAAAACACACCAAUAACCCACCGAGGGACACUGAGUCCAUCAGAACUUACUCUGCUGGUCCGAAUUCUUCCCAGAGUUUGAUUCAAAGCUUUGUUCUUUUCAGUAGCUGCAUUUCCAGUGCAAAUGUACACAAUAACUUUGUCAAUAUUCUGCUAAUGUCAGAAAAGACUAAAUUAAGCAAUUAUGGUGGGGUGUUUUUUCCAAAUAAAAAACGCAAUUAAAAGUCACAAAUUAAUACGUUUGUUCAUGUGAAAAAAUCUGCCAUUUUGUUUUUCUCCUACCACUUCCAGUUGUCUUCUUCGUGGUUUGUGCCAGUGGAAACAUCCUGUUGAUCACGUGACACUCGUGUGAUGUGAAAAAAUGCAGUUUUUCAAAAACCAAAAACCAUAAAAUGCACCUUAUUCUAGCACAAAAUCUUUAUUCAUUAAUAAAGACAAUUUUUAUUUAGUUUUUAAAAGUCAAAUUUUGUAGUUAAAUGUUCAAUGGAAGCACAUCUAGUGAUUUAGGUCCACUGAAUGCAACACAAGUAUUUCUCCCACUAUGCAAAAAAAAAACAAAAAAAAACUACAGUUUCCAAACGUUUUUCCCUUUAACAACCAAACAUAAGUGCAGCUCUGGUCACUAGUUUAAAUACAUUCCUCUUGGAUACGACACUUUAAAAUAUGAACGUGAGGAAUCUUUUUUCUCCCCAAGAGUGGAAUGACGAUAAAAGGUAAAACUUCACUCAGUUUU
Poecilia latipinna (sailfin molly) is the source of this 1013-nucleotide long non-coding RNA. RefSeq lists it as uncharacterized. Lineage: Eukaryota; Metazoa; Chordata; Actinopteri; Cyprinodontiformes; Poeciliidae. The record is from RefSeq and is a predicted model, not a curated record. The transcript has 2 exons.